Molecule: long non-coding RNA, 261 nt
Organism: Neocloeon triangulifer
Lineage: Eukaryota; Metazoa; Arthropoda; Insecta; Ephemeroptera; Baetidae
Exons: 2
Source: RefSeq, a predicted model, not a curated record
CUGCAAAUCCCCUAAUCGAUAUGUCAUUGAGACUUUCAGAGAUUGCUCCGAUUUUUCGCGUCGCGUGGGGUAUAAAGCGUUCGGCCACUAUUGUCUGCCAAAGCAGUUGGUGGACCCUACUUGAGUCAGACCAACUUUCUGCGGCAGCUAAAAAGUGCGUGGAGGGAUAUUCUUCCAGUCCACCAUGAAAGCUUGCAAGGUAGCGUUUGUGGCCUUCUUCUGCAUUUCCCUUGCCACUGCCCAUGUGAUUGGAGAUAAGAG